Molecule: long non-coding RNA, 396 nt
Organism: Medicago truncatula (barrel medic)
Lineage: Eukaryota; Viridiplantae; Streptophyta; Magnoliopsida; Fabales; Fabaceae
Exons: 2
Source: RefSeq, a predicted model, not a curated record
AAGUAAUAAAGGAGUUCAUAUUUUUUACACACAAAGAUAAAAAAAUGGCUGAAAUGUUCAAGUUUUUUUAUACUAUGAUCAUUUUAGUUUCCCUAUUUCUUGUUGUAUCCUUUUCUAAUGGGUAUCCUAUAGGACAUGCCUGAACAACACUAUCAUUAACAAGAAUAGAAGUGGAAAAUUAUUCGCUCACCUCUGCUAUGGUGUUCCUGAAAGUGUGUUGGAUUAUAAUUUAUGUAUAAGUUAUGUUCUAAGGAUCUGAUAUUGUGACGUCAGGGCUGGUUUUAAUAAUCUAGGGUUGAAUUAUAUUUUUUUUAUCUUUAAAAAAUACUAUGUAGGUUAUUGUAUUAUGAUGAUAAAUUAAAGCAUUUAGAAGCCAAAAUAUUUUAUUUCAAAUUA